ACUUGGGGGCCGGUUGUGUGUUCUCGGUGAGUCGGGUGUCGGGGGCGAGGAUUCGAGCGGACCCCGGAGGCCCGGGCUUCAGGUGGAAGGUGCAGAAUUGGGAAAAGGCGUGUGGAUGAACGAUGGCGCUCGGUGUAACGAAGCUGUUACGUGAAGAUGCUAAGAUGCAAAGGAAAAUUCCAAAGCUUAUGGGAGAAUAUUUGCUGGAAAAUUACCCGGCUAAAACCUGACGAUGUUGCCAGCAUCCUGGGAGUUGAUGAAUACUAAUGAAGCUGUGGAUGUCCCUGGCUGUCAGAUUCGUUUUGAAUGAGGGGUCGCUGUCUGCCUGUGGAAGAGACCGGUUUGCUAGGACGUUUUUAAGCUGUAACCAUUUCUGAACUAGUGUUACAAGAUUUACCUGCCUGUUGUAUGGAAAACUGGUGAUCAGGAAAAGCUCUUCGUAUUAUGGACAUGGAAAGAAAACAUGCAGAUCAAGAUUAUCUGGAGUAAUUUUUAGUCAUGGCACACGGUCCUGGAUGCCCACAGCCUGUUAACUAGGAGAUUACUUCCUAGCUCUGUUUCUAGGAGUGCGUGUCAAACUUAAGUAUUUGUAAUGGAAUUUUUCACCCCAGUUUUAGGAGUCUUGUAAUCAAAUAAUUGGAUGAAUGUCUUAUCUUUGGUUAAGUAUUAAAUGUAAAAUGUGUAAUUAAAGCUGAGUGAAAGUUUAUGUUUAAUGAAGAUGGAGAGACGGCCUUUAAUGGGAUAGGAUGGGUAUAAUUGUAAUUUGAAAGAAUGUUUAAACUAAAAAAUGGGGAGUAAUAAUGAGACUAAAAAGGGCACAGUGUGGCAGUUAAAGGUCACUGAAAAUCUGGGUUGGAACUAGUCAAACAUUGUACAGAAUGGAUUUAGUGUAAACAGUAAUGGCAUCUGAUCUAUCCCAGGUGGUUAGGUCCCCAUUCAUGAUUAUUUUCCCUAAAUAGUUCCCAAGCCCAUAUUUAAAUACCAUGGUCAAAACGCCAAACUUUUUUCUUCAGUGAGCAGUAAUCUUUUCCCUAAAAAUGUUUUCUUGCCUUAGAAGAAUUCUAUUUUGAAAUUAUACAGUUCAGGAGAGGCUCUGGAAAUGUUUCUUGCGCCCAUAUUAAAAUGAUGAACUAAAAUUAAAAGGGCUCAGUAUUUGGGGUAUCUGCACAUUAUAAAACCAGGUGCAAAAAAUUCCAUAGUGGCUACAGUUUGGGGAAAUUAAGGGACCUUGAGACUUGUUUCAAUGAGAGAUCAAUUAACAUUGUGAGUAUCCUGAUAUUACCAAAAGGAAUGAGGAAAAACUGACCUUAGAUAAAUCCUUAGAGGUAAAGUACACCUUCAGAUAAGUAUUCAAUGAGAUUGUGACCUCAUUGAUUAUACAGUAAAUUUUAAGUGAACAAUGAAUGGUAAAAGACUAAUUGGGAUCCUACACAAAACUUUCAGACAAGUGGCUACCCUUAGUCAGAGCUGGCAAACAAACUUCAAAGCCAGGCAAAGUUGUGAAAUAGACAAAAUUAUCCCUCUGACCUUUUCCUGCAGUUCUGGUUUUGCUUCUUUCUCCCAAUUCUUGUAAUGUCACAUUUUCUUAGUUAAUAAAUUAUGUGCAUUUACUUUA
Long non-coding RNA from Eptesicus fuscus (big brown bat), 1615 nucleotides. RefSeq lists it as uncharacterized. The record is from RefSeq and is a predicted model, not a curated record. Lineage: Eukaryota; Metazoa; Chordata; Mammalia; Chiroptera; Vespertilionidae. The transcript is spliced from 6 exons.